This 7345-nucleotide long non-coding RNA is filed under the name Gallus gallus (chicken). Lineage: Eukaryota; Metazoa; Chordata; Aves; Galliformes; Phasianidae. The record is from RNAcentral.
UUUGCUUGAUUUCUGGGCCAUACAGUUUUGGGAGGAAAAAAAACCUUGCUAUUAAUUCACAGGCCAUUUCUCAGAAAAAAAAUCCAUAUUGCUGCUGGUUUUAUUUGAUGUAUUUUUUUAUAGGUCAUGAGAAGUUGUGCCAUUUUCAGUGCGUGUCACACCCAGUGUUGUCUGUUAUCUUGUCUGAAGCAGAUGAUGCAGUUUGGUGCCUUUUCCUGUGUAUGGCUAAGAUUAGGGCAUGACUGUGAGCAAGGCAGCAGAAAUGUGUCUAGGUAAGACCACAUGAUUGUGACACUUAAAAGGGAUGAGUGUUGCAGUGGGGUGAAUGUGGGCCUCUGGGAGUUUUUUUCCCCUACUGGCAACCUGUGCUCCUAAAUCAGGAGUGGCUUUAGAAAGCUGUGGAGCUGAUGCAUCUUAUUCCAUGGAGGCAGAGUCCUGUACAUAUCAUGGCAUCAUAUGCAACAUCUUCAGUUGUUUCCAAGGAGCACCCUAGAAAGUGAUCCCAGUGCCCCACUGUUUUCCUAUUUCUUUUAAGAGCCAUUAAGGCAUUGCUUUUACUUCUAGAGCACCCAUACUUGGGGUACUCCUGGGCAAAACAUCAGUCUCAAAUCUAUAUUGCAGCCUUCUUGUAAUUAUUCUGCUGCAACUCAGGAUUCCUUGUCCCCUGGUCUACUUAAAAGGGUCUCGUCUGAAUGUAAACAUCACCCAGCGUUGCUCAUAACACAGCAUGUGAACCUGGGCAAAAACUCUUCCCCAGCUCUUUAUGGAUAUACAUUGUCAGUUCAAAACCUCAAGCAUCUGCUUUCAUGGAUUUGGAGUGGAGCAUUCAGUGGGGCAGAAGCUCAAACUUUGGUCUCCUCCAUUUCCCUGGCAUGUAAACCUCUCCUCCUCUCCAGGAAGAGCCUGUAGGCUAUAAUCAGAGCUCACCAUUAUUAUUAGUUUGGCAGUCAGAAGAUAUGGGACCUUCCUGGGUUUGUGUUUUCAAGAAAAGAGGUUCUAGGGAAGUGAGUCAGAAGGCAAGAUACAGAGAAAGUACCACGUGUUCUACCUCUGGCAAAAGGAAGGAGAACUUUUUACUGACACAAGCUGAAUAAACUAAGCUACCUUGCCUCUUGGCACUUGGAAAUGGUAAACGGAGAAUGUACCCAUAAAAAGUAGCACUCAACAUCUCACUGUGGUAUGAAGAACUCCACUGAUCCACAGCUGUCUGUGACUUGGAACACCUUGUAUGCAGCAUGCCUCUCCCACUGCCUCAUCACAGCUGAGUAAAACAGCAGAAACAAGCCCGGUGCUGCCUGACCAAGUUACAAAAUUGUUAAAAAGCCACGUGUGUUACACAGAGCAUUUUAGUUGAUAGAACAGUACCUAAACGACUGCAAAGCUAACACUAUGUAUGAAGUUUGAACUGAAAUAUCAAGAGUGUUUUUUCUCUUGAAAGUGGACUACAUAAAAGAACAACAUGAAGGUAUAAUGGUGUAUGGGCGCUGCUGUCGUCAUGACCAGCUGGACUCUGUCUCUCAAGGACUAAUCUCUCUUGGGUUAGGUUCUCCGUGGACUUUGGCAUGUGAGUGUACUAGGAGUUGUCUACUAUGUGUAAAGUUCUAGCAGCUGUUGGCUUUUCCACUUUGCUUGUUAAAAGAUUAUUAGCCUCUUCCUGUUCUGUCCUCUGUAUUCACACUCGUUGGAGUGCACAUUCCUCAUGUAACAAGCUUCCUAUAAUCAUCUAAAAGCCACCUGAGAAAGGUCCUGGAAUGAUCUGGAAGCAGGUGCUGGAAUCAAGCUUACAUUGCUGAUAACCUGCCUCUCUAACUCUGUCAUAAGUUGUUUUACUAGCCAUUGAUCUGCAAAGAAUCCUUCCAUUGUCAACAAACUCUACAUCCUCCAGUGAACUUUCAAACUUACCUAAAUCCAAGAUGGAGGUGUAAUACUCAGGCAGUCUGGAAAUUGAGGGGAAACAACAUCCUUCUGAUCCCUGCCCAGGAGAUGUUUCCAACAUGAGCUUCAGAAAGUGAUCAAAGCAUUUUCCUUGAGACAUCAAAUAAAGAAGCAAAUGAGAUGGCUUCAGUGGGAUACCUAUCUCCCAGAUUAUCCUGGCACUGAUGAAAUCUGUUCUGCCUUUUCUAGAGCCACUUCAAAAAGUUUCAAGCUUUCAAGGCUGGAGUUGCUAGAGCAAAGCUUGGAUUAAUGCCUUAGAAAAAACCAUGGAAUAUGCAAAGACAGGAGAGGGCCGGAGCAACUGGAAAACAAACUCAUUAGUUAAUCAGGGAUUCCUUCCAUCCCUCUUCAGCCCUGCACCCAGGGCGUGCACUGGGGAUGCAUGCCCUGAUAUGCCAGCCUGAGAGUGCUGAGAAUUAAGCAGUCUCACAGGUGGCUGGUGUUCAAAGGAAACUGGGGUGUGACGGCCUUCCCAUCCCAGUUUUCAGGAUCUCUGGGCACACAGCUACAACUCUGAAAAUUAUAAAUAUGAAUGAUUUAUAUUUCCUGUAAAAUGGUUCUGUUUUUUUUUUAAAGCAACAACCAACCAAAAAAUCCCAAACCAACCAACAAACAACAACAACAACCUUGGCGAUUCUAUGAUUCUAUGAUUCUAUGAUUCUAUGAUUCUAUGAUAAAAGACAACAAAACCCAACAAAUAGCAAAAAAGUGGAGCAGGCCUGUACUUUCCCCGUACAACACUAAUUAAGAAGAAGUUGGAGAUCAUGUUUGAAUGGACUUUUCUUUUGCUCUGUCCUACUCUCCAUAAGUAGCCUGCCAGAGGAGUAGCCUGGUGAUAAAAUACUUCUGCAGAGGAAGAAUGAGACACAGAUGAGAGCCUGGCUUUCAUGGCAGGAGAUGGGCUGGUGGCUGGGUGGGAUAGAGGCAGGGUCAGUUCAUGAAUUGUCUGUGCUGACAGCCCCAGGGUUAACAGCUGGGACUGUGUGUCUAGCAGAUGAUGGAGUCACUGCUUAGCACUUUGUCCUCCUAUAGCUCAUUGGCAUUGAUACAAAAACAAACAAACAAACAAAAAACAAAAAAACAUGUAAAGCAGCUGUUUAAGAAUAAAAUGAUAUAAACGUGCAGUGUUGGCUUGGCAUCGUGGAUGUCAUCCCUAGCCAGUUCCUCCACAGGUUUUUGCUUGGUAAAUUGCAUCUCCACAUUUGUCUGCUAAUCAGAGGAGGAGGAAAGGAGGAUGAUAGUCACUGUUGUCUCUCAACCAGGUAGUUGUCUGUGUAUUGCUCUGGAGAAGCUUUGGUCAUGCUAUGUGAGGUGAGUGCCAAACCACCUAUUUCUGGCAGUGCUUAUAAAACAGGUUAACAAAAUGGUAAGCCAAGUUUGAGAUGUACCUGAAGAAGAGGCAGGCUGGGAAGGGUUUGCUGGCAUGUAUAGCAUGAGAAGGUGCUUCUUCUGCACUGUUUUAAGGAUCACAUAGUGUUUUCUGGAAGGUUAUAAGCUAGGCAGUCUGGAAAAGCUAAAGGUGCGGUCAGGGAUGGAAGAUACUUUGGCUUCAAGAGAAUCAGAUUAUUAGGAUCCCGUGUUCACUAGGGAAAACCUGGCUACUAGUUCUCCUAGCAGCAUUCAUGCUUUUCAAAAAUAAAUAGUCAAUUUGUUAUAAUUUGGAAGUACUCUUGGAAGUGAGGACUGAGAAUCAUGGCAACUUUCAUUAUUCAAGGAAAUCUCUGUGAUAAGCACUGAAGAGUUAGAGGAGAUAAAUCAGAUUGUGCAUACUACACGUGAAUAAAGCAAGUUUCAUUAAGACUGAUGGCUCUAGCUUCUAUCAUCAGUAUAUCUUGCAAAGCAUUCUCUAGUAAAAAAAAAAAGUCUUAAAAAAUUAAAAGGCUUUGAUUUCUGUUCAGGGUUAUUUGGAGGGCAGGAAGUAGGCUAGAGCAUGUUAGGCUGGACUACAGUAAUGCUUAGUUUCAAUUUUAUGUAAAACUGGUGAUCCACAUGCUUCUUGUCUUCUGCUUCAUUCUUUGUCGCUUAAUUGUUAAACUGAUGAAAGGCAUGUCUGUUCUCAGAAUGCCAAUACUACUGAAAAGGAAAAGUUUAGGAACAGUAAAGUAAAAACAGGCUCGUUGACUUCUGAAAGGAAGACAAGUGCUGAAGACAAAUACUUGUUAAGACGUAUGCAACUUGUUCACUCUAUCUACCCAUGAGUGGGAGAAAAACUGGCAUGGUUCCCACACCAAGUGCUUCUAGUGUUUCAGUUAAAGCUUGAUGUGAUCUGUCAGCUGCAGAAUAUGUUAGCGCUGGCUUUUGCAGAUAUUUAUCCUUUUUUAACACUUUCUGCCUAUGCAUGCAGAUGUCAAAAGGUGUCCUUCCCUCACUGUUUGAAGCUACUUGCUGUAGGAUGGGAAAGAAAGUGCUCUGCCCCUCAUCAGCAUCAAAAGCACAUGGUCACAGCUCAUGGAAAGCAUACCAGGUGGUUUACUUGACUGAUGGAAGCAACUUUUGUGGAAAUAAGAAGCUGGGUGAAAGAGAUACGAUUCCAUGACUGAAGAAGAGACUUUAAUAUGAAAUGAUGCUUUGUUGUGCACCAGAAAAUCAACAUGAAAGGGAGAAUUAUGAAACCUGGCAGUUUGCAGCCAACCCAAUGCACAAAGAAAACCACAUAUAGUUCAAUCCUGGUCCACCUGCUUCUGUUUUCUCCGUGUGGCAUUGUACAACUGCUAUAUACAGAAGCAAAUCUUGGCAGUAUUUGUGAAGUGUCCUAGAAGAAUCAUACGAUUCUGCUUGAUGGUUUCUCCUGACAGAGUAGAACCAGAAAUCAUUUGCCCUUUUCUAAACAGGAAAGGUCAAAAGUGAAUGACAUUAUAGUGCUCUCAUGAUUUCGUGUCCAGGUCUGUAUUGCCCUGAGGAAUUAUUAUAGAUAACAUUUAUGAGCGUGUAUCUGUAUCUAUGUGCAUGUGUGGAUAAUGCAUGUAUGAAUUUAGCAGAGUUUAAAAGGAGUUGCUGUUGAAAUAGUCUUUUCUUGAGCACCUUUUAAGCCUUCAGGUCUCACCAAACAGUUAAUAUGUGGGUUUGAAAAAUGUACUAAAAAAGCAUCUUUGUAGACAUAAAUGCUUUAAAGAUUUGCUCACUGAAGGCUUUUGAAAUGGCUGGUCUGCAGAGCACUUGUUCAUGUCCUUAGGACAGCUGGCUGAUGGUGUUGUGCAGGCACAGCUUCAGACACUGAGUUUACAGAAUAGUAUCUCAAGUGGUUCUGCAGGCUAGAUGUGGAUCUUAUGUGAUCUGCAGAUGAAGGUGGUGAGCUCUGUUGGGGUACAGUCCCUGUGAUAAAAACAUUUGAGUACCUCCAUCCUAAUAUUAAAUAAGGACAAUCCCCUAGCCUCAGUGAAAGUACAGCCUUCCAAGGGUUUUUCCUUAAUAAAAAAGCAACAGAUCAAACCUAAAUAAGCCAUUAAUUUUGUGUGAUUUUUACUUGCACUUUUUCAUGUCUACUCUCAGGACUGUUUGUGUUUUGUUAUUAUUAUUCAAUAGACAUACUUCAUUUUCUUCAGAGGUGUGGCAUGAUAUCAUUGUGGUCUAAUAAAUGAAAUCAUUUUGAAUAGAUUUUCAUCAACAUAAUUUGUGCAGUUUGUUUUGUGCAAAUAAAAUUCCAAGAUGCUGAGUUCCUGCCUGUGUAGUCACAUCUGCAUGGUGUAGUAUUUUUCAGUGCUUCAACUUGAAAACUGGAGGCAUAACAUAAGGCCAGAGUUUCUGUAGGUCAGCUCUUCAAUUCUGAACUCGUCACUAGAGAAAGAACAGAGAUAGAAGAAUAGCAAGAGGUAGAAUAAAUAACUCCAGGGAACAUUAUUUUGAGAGAAAGUCAAACACUACUGUGACAGGUAGCUAGAAGAAGUAGGGUAGUCAUGUACAAGUUCCGUGUAUUGCACAUGCUUGACAAGUCAGGGUUCUUGGUAGGGAUUCUUGAGCUGAGUGAGGGUGGGUCAUUGUCCUGCUGACUCUUGGCUCUGUUCCUCCAAGUUCUCAUCAAACAGGAAAGAAUUUCCCUCCUUCUCUGACAAGCUUCCUCUUUAUAAGGGAUUAAAGAACAGAAUUUUACUGAGAAAAAAAAAGGUAUAAACAAAAGUUUUUCAGUACUUCAUCCUCAUUGACCAGAGUUGCUUAUAUAUGUUUAGCUUAUUUCACACACACACACACACACACACACACACACACACACACACACACGCAUGCACACACACACAAAAAAAAGGAUUAUUUUCAUCUUUGACAUAAGAUCAGCAUCUCUCCGUAUGAGUUCUUGGGAGAAAGGUGACAAGCUGUCAGUGAUAGUUAAAAAUUUUGUUUGUGUUCAAAAGAUACAGGAGGGAAGGAUACAAAUUGAGUAGCAAAGACUUCCAGGAAAGAGGCAGUAAAGACAUGAAACAGCAAGUAUAAAGAAAAAAAUCUUAAAUUGUCAAAGACCACACAUCUGUUUGGAGAUACAGAUUUCUGUCACAUCUCUGAUUUCAGCCAAGUCUUUCCCUUCUCAAACUAUUCUGGGAUCUACAUUUGAGAAUGUAGAGAUUAGAAGUGUUUGACAAUUCCAUUAUUUCAUUCAGAAAUGAAAAAAAAAAUGCUAUUAAAUGAAUUAUAUAAUAUCUGUGUCUUUUUUACAACCUUAAUUAGUGUAACCAUAAUAUUUUUAUAUAUUCAUCUUGUUCACUUUCUGUUCCCACUGUCCUUUCUUCCCAUUUUUUAAACUGGGGAAUCUCAUGCACCCUUGCGUAAAAUAUGUACAGAAUUUUUUUACAAAUUAUAUUAACAUAUUCCUUUUAAAUUGUUUGUGAAGUGCAGUCUUCUAGACUUCAUGUGAACAGUGUUAAUUUCAGCUGGGUGUUGGUUGUUUGAUUUUAUUCUGUCACUGGCUUGGAAAUAAUGGUUGUAGGAAGGAAGAGGGAGAAGGGAAAGAGAGAAAUUUGGGAUCCUCAACUGCAGACUAGUCAAGUAAUUCAAAUUUUCAAAUAAAUGCUGAAAUAAAAAUUCCAAAUACCUAUUAAGAACAUGGAAGAACAAAAAUACAUGAAUUGCAGUCACCAAGUCAUGUCAAACCAAUCUUAUCUCCUUCUUUCAGAGGAUAACAGGUCUUUUGGACAGACAGGAAGCAGUAAAUUCUAUCUGCCUUGUCAUUAUUAGAGAUUCUGGUAUUGUUUCGUAUGACAUUCAUACAGUAAAUGGACUAGAGAGAUACGGCCAAGUUAAUAUACAAACUAGCUGGAUGCAAGACCUCAAGUUCAAUUUUAAACAACCUUCCACUGAGAAUACUGUCUAAAAAGUAGAAUUGAUAUUGGGGCCCUAGCAAGGGUCUUUUCUGGGUUUAAUACUUACCUGUAUUUUCUUCAGUCGGUUAAGUGAUAGUGUGCUAUGGAGUUCUCAGAUGCUG